AACUAAGGAACGAAGGCUAAGUACGCCGCCUCGUGCGGCAACGCCUUCGUGACCAACAUCAUGUUGG
RNAcentral lists this small RNA (67 nucleotides) under Psychrobacillus sp. FJAT-21963. RNAcentral's name for it is "Bacillaceae-1 RNA". It matches the Rfam family "Bacillaceae-1 RNA". The record is from Rfam by way of RNAcentral. Lineage: Bacteria; Bacillati; Bacillota; Bacilli; Caryophanales; Bacillaceae.